This 301-nucleotide ribosomal RNA is filed under the name uncultured bacterium. RNAcentral describes it as "partial 16S ribosomal RNA". It matches the Rfam family "Bacterial small subunit ribosomal RNA", at positions 509 to 807 of the family's 1533-position model. The record is from RNAcentral.
CAGUCGCCGCGGUAAAACGUAGGGUCCGAGCGUUGUCCGGAAUUAUUGGGCGUAAAGAGCUCGUAGGCGGUCUGUCGCGUCUGCCGUGAAAUCCUCAGGCUCAACCUGAGGCGUGCGGUGGGUACGGGCAGGCUAGAGUGCGGUAGGGGAGAAUGGAACUCCUGGUGUAGCGGUGGAAUGCGCAGAUAUCUGGAAGAACACCGAUGGCGAAGGCAGUUCUCUGGGCCGUAACUGACGCUGAGGAGCGAAAGCGUGGGGAGCGAACAGGAUUAGAUACCCCUGUAGUCCCUGUCUCUUAUAC